GACGUAGGUGGCGAACGUUAUCCGGAAUCAUUGGGCGUAAAGGGUGCGUAGGCGGCAAGAUAAGUUAUUGGUGGGAAAUCGAGGCUCAACCUCGUGGAAACUGAUAAUACUGUCUCGCUUGAGUACAGGAGAGGUUAACGGAAUUCUUUGUGGAGGGGUAAAAUCCAAAGAUAUAAAGGAGAACAUCAAUAACGGCGAAGGCAGUUAACUAUUCUGUUACUGACGCUGAGGCACGAAAAGCGUGGGGGAGCAAAAACGG
This 259-nucleotide ribosomal RNA is filed under the name uncultured bacterium. RNAcentral's name for it is "partial 16S ribosomal RNA". It matches the Rfam family "Bacterial small subunit ribosomal RNA", at positions 524 to 777 of the family's 1533-position model. The record is from RNAcentral.